CGGGGGCCCGCGCAAGCGGUGGAGCAUGUGGUUUAAUUCGAUGCAACGCGAAGAACCUUACCUACUCUUGACAUCUACAGAAGCCAGCGGAGACGCAGGUGUGCCUUCGGGAACUGUAAGACAGGUGCUGCAUGGCUGUCGUCAGCUCGUGUUGUGAAAUGUUGGGUUAAGUCCCGCAACGAGCGCAACCCUUAUCCUUGUUUGCCAGCACUUCGGGUGGGAACUCCAGGGAGACUGCCGGUGAUAAACCGGAGGAAGGUGGGGACGACGUCAAGUCAUCAUGGCCCUUACGAGUAGGGCUACACACGUGCUACAAUGGCGCAUACAGAGGGCGGCCAACUUGCGAAAGUGAGCGAAUCCCAAAAAGUGCGUCGUAGUCCGGAUUGGAGUCUGCAACUCGACUCCAUGAAGUCGGAAUCGCUAGUAAUCGUGGAUCAGAAUGCCACGGUGAAUACGUUCCCGGGCCUUGUACACACCGCCCGUCACACCAUGGGAGUGGGCUGCAAAAGAAGUGGGUAGUUUAACCUUCGGGAGGACGCUCACCACUUUGUGGUUCAUGACUGGGGGGAAGUCGUAACAAGGUAACCG
RNAcentral lists this ribosomal RNA (588 nucleotides) under uncultured bacterium. RNAcentral's name for it is "bacterial SSU rRNA". It matches the Rfam family "Bacterial small subunit ribosomal RNA", at positions 914 to 1502 of the family's 1533-position model. The record is from RNAcentral.